Mugil cephalus (flathead mullet) is the source of this 539-nucleotide long non-coding RNA. RefSeq lists it as uncharacterized. The transcript has 2 exons. NCBI's taxonomy places the organism in Eukaryota, Metazoa, Chordata, Actinopteri, Mugiliformes, Mugilidae. The record is from RefSeq and is a predicted model, not a curated record.
CAAAGACACAUGAGUCAGGACGAAGGGACGAUUCCUCCGGACAGAGACACAUCAGGACACAUUUAAAGGGUCAAACCAGAUUCACUCUGGACAGGAAACAUGGAGCCACAUCUGCUGCAGUUCCUCCAGCCUCCACUAGAGGCUCCUGCAUGACGGCAUCAGGACCAUGUUCCUGACCCUGGUCCCUGUGGACCCUGGACCUGGACCAGACCAGGACCAGGUUCAGUUCUUUGGAGCGCCGCAGGUUUUCCUGCUCGGCCGAGUGGAGCCGCUCCCUCAGGGCCAAGAACUCCCUCUGAUAAAUAUCCACCACAUCUCCUGUGGGAAGAGGAACAGACGGGAGGUCAUGGGUUCGUGUUACAAUAUAUAAAACUACAUUUCCCUUCAUGAUGUCCUCAAGAACAGAUACUUUAACACAACAAGAGUUUUUUCUAUAUUUUAGUAAAUUCUGAAAGUCUCUAAAAGAGAACGUGAUAAACAUUGUUUUGUGAGAUAAAUGUUGAUCCGCUAACAUUAAAGACGUGACAUUCAUGACACUG